Hevea brasiliensis (rubber tree) is the source of this 984-nucleotide long non-coding RNA. RefSeq lists it as uncharacterized. The transcript has 4 exons. The record is from RefSeq and is a predicted model, not a curated record. NCBI's taxonomy places the organism in Eukaryota, Viridiplantae, Streptophyta, Magnoliopsida, Malpighiales, Euphorbiaceae.
GAAGAUUACAGAAAUAGAAUACAGACAACAUAGAGAUCACCACUGCUCCAGCGAACCUUUGCACUCGUAACUUGCAAGGGGAAGCAGUGGCAGCAGUAUAGCAACAGUUGCCCCGCAGCAAUUACCCAAAAAUUGCCACUUAUUGAUUCUCUUUUCUCUCUUUCUGAGGUGCUCUUUAAUCAGAGUCUUUUAACUGCAUUUUAUUCUUUAGCUAUCAAAAUCAUUCCAUCGCUUUUGGCGAAGAUUGGGUUUGCGCCACUUUUGAGCUCGAAGAAGAGAUUUGAAGUUGGGUUUCCAAGGAAAAUGGCUUGGAUUCAGGAAAAAUGUGAGGCAGAAGUUGGGAACAAGUUGGAGGUGGUUCGGCCUGGCGGCUUGCGACUGAAGUUUACUCUGAAGAGGCUGUUGAAGCUCUCAGAACUGAGCAGGGGAGUUGAGUGCAUGUAAGAGGUUCAUGAAUCCAGGAUUGGACAGUGUAGGGAGUUGGAGUGGCUUUCAUGAGUAUGAAAUUUAACAGGCAAUGAAGUAGUGGCUGCAUCAAGGAUUUUGAGAUUCCCUGGGAACACUUUGCGUAUGUUAUGAAGGCUGCUUCCAUCUGACUGCAGAAUCAACAGUUGUGGAACAUACCAGGCAAGGAAAGUGCAGGAUUCUUAGACACGGGUGAUAAACUUUCAAUUGAGAAGCUAUCUAAUAUGGAAGAAAAAUGACAAUUCAUUAAAAGCACUGUCCAGUCUAAGUGUGGAAACAACGCUAUUUGAAGAUGUUGCAAUGAGGUGAUAUAGUUUUAUACUCAUUUGUUGCAAUAGGUGAGAAUGGAUUUGCUUAUGCAUGAGGAAAAUUGUCACUGUGCAUCAGUUAUAUUUUAUUUAACUUGGAUAUGAGCUUAAGUUCUCGAAUUUUGGAGGAGCUUGUCUUGGAUAUGCUUUCUUAGUCGAUAGUUGAUGGACUAGACAUUUGGUGGAAAUGAAAUUAAUUAGUUAAUAAUCA